UGGGGAAUUUUGGACAAUGGGCGAAAGCCUGAUCCAGCAAUGCCGCAUGUGUGAAGAAGGCCUUCGGGUUGUAAAGCACUUUUGUCCGGAAAGAAAUCCUUGGCUCUAAUACAGUCGGGGGAUGACGGUACCGGAAGAAUAAGCACCGGCUAACUACGUGCCAGCAGCCGCGGUAAUACGUAGGGUGCAAGCGUUAAUCGGAAUUACUGGGCGUAAAGCGUGCGCAGGCGGUUUGCUAAGACCGAUGUGAAAUCCCCGGGCUCAACCUGGGAACUGCAUUGGUGACUGGCAGGCUAGAGUAUGGCAGAGGGGGGUAGAAUUCCACGUGUAGCAGUGAAAUGCGUAGAGAUGUGGAGGAAUACCGAUGGCGAAGGCAGCCCCCUGGGCCAAUACUGACGCUCGUGCACGAAAGCGUGGGGAGCAAACAGGAUUAGAUACCCUGGUAGUCCACGCCCUAAAACGAUGUCAACUAGUUGUUGGGGAUUCAUUUCCUUAGUAACGUAGCUAACGCGUGAAGUUGACCGCCUGGGGAGUACGGUCGCAAGAUUAAAACUCAAAUGAAUUGACGGGGUCAUAGCUGUUUCCU
This 586-nucleotide ribosomal RNA is filed under the name uncultured bacterium. Its description in RNAcentral is "partial 16S ribosomal RNA". It matches the Rfam family "Bacterial small subunit ribosomal RNA", at positions 355 to 1375 of the family's 1533-position model. The record is from RNAcentral.